AUUCUUUCUUCUUCAACCGUGGAAAAGAACUAAAAAUGGCAGCCAUGGAUGAGCUCCAUUUGGCCAAGCUGCCAUGGCUUAUAUAGAUCAAGAAAACAUGAAAUUUUGGAUUAAGAUUUUGAAGAACAAAGUUGUGUGCUAAGUCAGGAAAGUUAGUCGUUUCGGCAUUUGAGUGUUGUCAGGUUGGCUCGGGUUUGGAGAUCGUCGGAAGUAUCAUCACACUAUUAGUUUAUCAAAUUAGAAUAAUGGUAAUUCUUAUUUAUUGUCAAAUAAGUGGCAUGUAUAGAUAAUUAGUUAUUGAUAUUAAAUAAUAUUAUGAUUUAGCCAAAUGUAUAGGCUCAUUUUUGCUUCAUUGUAUAUAGCCAUAAGAUUUGGCUCAUAAUGGUUAAAGUUAUGUAAACCUAUUUCUAAGUGUCUGAAAGAUUGCGGUUUGUUCUCGAACCAAUUUCAAUGAUUGUUUUGGGACUCGUAGGCCAUUUUAAGGGACAAA
Long non-coding RNA from Gossypium arboreum, 490 nucleotides. RefSeq lists it as uncharacterized. The transcript is spliced from 3 exons. The record is from RefSeq and is a predicted model, not a curated record. NCBI's taxonomy places the organism in Eukaryota, Viridiplantae, Streptophyta, Magnoliopsida, Malvales, Malvaceae.